UUCUUUCUGUAGCUAUAAUAUUUUUAUAAAAAUAUUGAAUAUUGUAUCACAGAAUGGAUU
MicroRNA precursor from Monodelphis domestica (gray short-tailed opossum), 60 nucleotides. It matches the Rfam family "mir-7360 microRNA precursor family". NCBI's taxonomy places the organism in Eukaryota, Metazoa, Chordata, Mammalia, Didelphimorphia, Didelphidae. The record is from Rfam.